CAGGAUGCAGGACCCAGACAAACCCCUCGUGGAGCAGGAAAUCAUCCACUGCUUGCUCCCACUGCUGCUGCAUCUUGAAGACCAGGAUGAGAUUGUGACUCUGUGAUGUAAACUGACGCUCUUCCGCUGCGCAGUCUUUCUCAGCUGGGCUCAUUUGAAGAGGCUGUUCCGCAGCAUGGCCUGGGAUGGCUACUCACAGCUCUCGAAGUGUGUCUGGAACGUCUUGAUGCAGAACAACAAGAGCCACAUCCCCAAAUUCCUGUUCCAGGCCCUAGAGUAGCUGGAAAGCUCACAGACAACAAUAAGACAUUCUGCAGCCUUGUUCAUUGGAAAGACUAUCUGCCAUUAC
Long non-coding RNA from Dermochelys coriacea (leatherback sea turtle), 349 nucleotides. RefSeq lists it as uncharacterized. NCBI's taxonomy places the organism in Eukaryota, Metazoa, Chordata, Testudines, Dermochelyidae. The transcript is spliced from 4 exons. The record is from RefSeq and is a predicted model, not a curated record.